Molecule: long non-coding RNA, 1185 nt
Organism: Nicotiana attenuata
Lineage: Eukaryota; Viridiplantae; Streptophyta; Magnoliopsida; Solanales; Solanaceae
Exons: 2
Source: RefSeq, a predicted model, not a curated record
GCGGCUUGUUCCUCCUGAAUAAACUGAAGGAUGAUGAUGACGGUGGUGCUGGUGGGGCCGAAGGAGGUGGCGCUCCGCGAGAAUGACCCUACUGGUGAAAUUUUACUGAGUUGUUGUUGUUGUCGUCAUUCCUACGAUUUUCACGCAAUUCAUACCUCCUAUGGUUCAAGUGCAGUGCAAGCCGGGACGGAUCUAACCUUAAGCCUAUGGGUUCCCGUGAAUUCAAUAGUUUUGCCCAAAUUCUAUAUUUAUAUUAAGAAGUUCAUUAAAUAUUUAUUUGGCUGUAAGCCCUAUUAUUAUUGUAUAAAGAAUUCAUAAACUUUAAAUCUUGGAUUGCCCAUACACUCGUUCCUAGGGAUGUAGAUUUCAAGAAUGGGUUAAAACGAACUCAUUUAGUGACAUGGUAAUAAUAAUACCAAAAAUUGAUUAUACCAAUGAAGAUGAUUAUGAGAAUCCAAAAUGAUUAAUAGGAAGAUCAAAUUUGGUAGUAUCAGCAUGGGCAAGAAUUCUUGCUUCAUGGAGAUGAGAUGAACAGAAUAUAUCUUGUCUGAGGAAGCAGACGUGAUAUACGAGGGAAGUCAAAAAGUAUGGAGGAGCUAAGUUAGUCCACUUUGAAACAUCGUGGCCGAAGAUUCAAAAAGAAGUUGGACCGGCCGAAUAUGAUCUCAUGGGCUGGCCAGGGUAAUAUUCUGAAUUCUGAUCCACAAUAAGACCUAGCAAAUGGACUUCUUAGUCUCCAGUACGGAUUUGUUCACUGGCUUCUUUACUCUUAUCUCAAAUUAUUUUCGAUUUUUCUAUUGGUGCUAUUCUCGCCCUUGGGACGGAAUAUUAAAGAAAAUACUUAUUCCACAUAGUGUUUGCACCAAAUAAAGCAAGAUUAAACCUUAGAAACUAUAAACUAAAUUGAGAAUACAUAUAAAUGUAUGUAUAAAAGAUGAACGACUUGCAUCUAUUGGUUUUGUUAAAAUACUUAGGGAUAGUUUGGUUGGAUGCAUUAGAUAAAAUAAUGCAUGCAUUAGCUUUGUGUAUUAAUAAUACCUUGUUCGAUACACUUUUUGAACAUAUGCAUUAGUUAUGCAAGCAUUAGUUAUAUACCAUAUUUGGUAUUAUCCUAAGCAUAACUAAUGCAUAGAAAACCAUGGUAUUAGCUAUGCAAUGGGUUUUAAUGCGUGCAUUAGCUUAGUU